RNAcentral lists this ribosomal RNA (116 nucleotides) under uncultured bacterium. RNAcentral describes it as "partial 16S ribosomal RNA". It matches the Rfam family "Bacterial small subunit ribosomal RNA", at positions 1367 to 1482 of the family's 1533-position model. The record is from RNAcentral.
UACGUUCCCGGGCUUGUACACACCGCCCGUCACGUCACGAAAGUCGGUAACGCCCGAAGCCGGUGGCCCAACCCUUGUGGAGGGAGCCGUCGAAGGCGGGAUCGGCGAUUGGGACG